CGGCGUCGAGCGGCGGACGGGUGAGUAAUGCCUAGGAAAUUGCCCUGAUGUGGGGGAUAACCAUUGGAAACGAUGGCUAAUACCGCAUGAUGCCUACGGGCCAAAGAGGGGGACCUUCGGGCCUCUCGCGUCAGGAUAUGCCUAGGUGGGAUUAGCUAGUUGGUGAGGUAAGGGCUCACCAAGGCGACGAUCCCUAGCUGGUCUGAGAGGAUGAUCAGCCACACUGGAACUGAGACACGGUCCAGACUCCUACGGGAGGCAGCAGUGGGGAAUAUUGCACAAUGGGCGCAAGCCUGAUGCAGCCAUGCCGCGUGUGUGAAGAAGGCCUUCGGGUUGUAAAGCACUUUCAGUCGUGAGGAAGGUAGUG
Molecule: ribosomal RNA, 367 nt
Filed under: Vibrio parahaemolyticus
Lineage: Bacteria; Pseudomonadati; Pseudomonadota; Gammaproteobacteria; Vibrionales; Vibrionaceae
Description: bacterial SSU rRNA
Rfam family: Bacterial small subunit ribosomal RNA
Source: RNAcentral